Molecule: ribosomal RNA, 2393 nt
Filed under: Rhodococcoides fascians
Lineage: Bacteria; Bacillati; Actinomycetota; Actinomycetes; Mycobacteriales; Nocardiaceae
Also listed under: 1 other name
Description: 23S ribosomal RNA
Rfam family: Bacterial large subunit ribosomal RNA
Source: RNAcentral
UGUGGUGUAGUGGCGUGUUCUAGACCCGAAGCGGAGUGAUCUACCCAUGGCCAGGUUGAAGCGACGGUAAGACGUCGUGGAGGACCGAACCCACUUAGGUUGAAAACUGAGGGGAUGAGUUGUGGGUAGGGGUGAAAGGCCAAUCAAACUCCGUGAUAGCUGGUUCUCCCCGAAAUGCAUUUAGGUGCAGCGUCACGUGUUUCUCACCGGAGGUAGAGCUACUGGAUGGUCUAGGGGGCCUACAAGCUUACCGAAAUCAGCCAAACUCCGAAUGCCGGUGAGUGAGAGCGUGGCAGUGAGACUGCGGGCGAUAAGGUUCGUAGUCGAGAGGGAAACAGCCCAGAUCGCCAGCUAAGGUCCCUAAGCGUGUACUAAGUGGAAAAGGAUGUGGGGUCGCGAAGACAACCAGGAGGUUGGCUUAGAAGCAGCCACCCUUGAAAGAGUGCGUAAUAGCUCACUGGUCAAGUGAUCCUGCGCCGACAAUGUAGCGGGGCUCAAGUACACCACCGAAGCUGCGGCACUCACACAAUAGCCCGCUGAAUCCUUGCGAGGGUUCAGCCAGGUGUGUGGGUGGGUAGGGGAGCGUCGUGCAGCCAUGGAAGCAUCGGAGUGAUCCAGGUGUGGAGGCUGCGCGAGUGAGAAUGCAGGCAUGAGUAGCGAAAGACGAGUGAGAAACUCGUCCGCCGAAUGACCAAGGGUUCCUGGGCCAGGUUAAUCCGCCCAGGGUGAGUCGGGACCUAAGACGAGGCCGACAGGCGUAGCCGAUGGACAACGGGUUGAUAUUCCCGUACCCGUGUAACCGCGCCCAUGGUGAAUCAGUGACACUAACCACCCUGAAUCCAGAUGACCGAUCUCUUUCGAGAGUGAGGCGUGUGGUGGAUGCGUGGGACCUGAUCUGGUAGUAGCCAAGCGAUGGGGUGACGCAGGAAGGUAGCUGGGCCAGUCAGUGGUUGUACUGGUGUAAGCCUGUAGGGCGAACGGUAGGCAAAUCCGCCGUUCAUGAAGCCUGAGAGGUGAUGCGUAGCCGAUUGAGGCGAAUUCAGUGAUCCUAUGCUGCCGAGAAAAGCCUCUAGUGAGUUGUUACACGGCCCGUACCCCAAACCGACACAGGUGGUCAGGUAGAGAAUACUAAGGCGAUCGAGAUAACUAUGGUUAAGGAACUCGGCAAAAUGCCCCCGUAACUUCGGGAGAAGGGGGGCCCCUGCCGGUGAUCACUCUUGCAGUGUGAGCUGGUGUGGGCCGCAGAGACCAGUGAGAAGCGACUGUUUACUAAAAACACAGGUCCGUGCGAAGUCGUAAGACGAUGUAUACGGACUGACGCCUGCCCGGUGCUGGAAGGUUAAGAGGACCGGUUAGCCAGUAAUGGCGAAGCUGAGAAUUUAAGCCCCAGUAAACGGCGGUGGUAACUAUAACCAUCCUAAGGUAGCGAAAUUCCUUGUCGGGUAAGUUCCGACCUGCACGAAUGGCGUAACGACUUCUCAGCUGUCUCAACCAUAGACUCGGCGAAAUUGCAUUACGAGUAAAGAUGCUCGUUACGCGCGGCAGGACGAAAAGACCCCGGGACCUUCACUACAGCUUGGUAUUGGUGUUCGGUUCGGUUUGUGUAGGAUAGGUGGGAGACUGUGAAGCGGUGACGCCAGUUACUGUGGAGUCGUUGUUGAAAUACCACUCUGAUCGUAUUGGAUACCUCAACCUCGGACCAUGAUCUGGUUCAGGGACAGUGCCUGGUGGGUAGUUUAACUGGGGCGGUUGCCUCCUAAAAUGUAACGGAGGCGCCCAAAGGUUCCCUCAGCCUGGUUGGCAAUCAGGUGUCGAGUGCAAGUGCACAAGGGAGCUUGACUGUGAGACUGACAAGUCGAGCAGGGACGAAAGUCGGGACUAGUGAUCCGGCACCGGCAAGUGGAAGCGGUGUCGCUCAACGGAUAAAAGGUACCCCGGGGAUAACAGGCUGAUCUUCCCCAAGAGUCCAUAUCGACGGGAUGGUUUGGCACCUCGAUGUCGGCUCGUCGCAUCCUGGGGCUGGAGUAGGUCCCAAGGGUUGGGCUGUUCGCCCAUUAAAGCGGCACGCGAGCUGGGUUUAGAACGUCGUGAGACAGUUCGGUCUCUAUCCGCCGCGCGCGUAAGAAACUUGAGGAAGGCUGUCCCUAGUACGAGAGGACCGGGACGGACGAACCUCUGGUGUGCCAGUUGUUCCACCAGGAGCACCGCUGGUUGGCUACGUUCGGAAGGGAUAACCGCUGAAAGCAUCUAAGCGGGAAGCCUGUUCCAAGAUGAGGUUUCUCACCCCCUCGAGGGGGUAAGGCCCCCGGCAGACCACCGGGUUGAUAGGCCAGAACUGGAAGUACAGCAAUGUAUGCAGGUGACUGGUACUAAUAGGCCGAGGACUUACCACA